This 489-nucleotide ribosomal RNA is filed under the name uncultured bacterium. RNAcentral's name for it is "partial 16S ribosomal RNA". It matches the Rfam family "Bacterial small subunit ribosomal RNA", at positions 30 to 506 of the family's 1533-position model. The record is from RNAcentral.
AUUGAACGCUGGCGGCAGGCCUAACACAUGCAAGUCGAACGGUAACAGGAAGCAGCUUGCUGCUUUGCUGACGAGUGGCGGACGGGUGAGUAAUGUCUGGGAAACUGCCCGAUGGAGGGGGAUAACUACUGGAAACGGUAGCUAAUACCGCAUAACGUCGCAAGACCAAAGAGGGGGACCUUAGGGCCUCUUGCCAUCGGAUGUGCCCAGAUGGGAUUAGCUAGUAGGUGGGGUAACGGCUCACCUAGGCGACGAUCCCUAGCUGGUCUGAGAGGAUGACCAGCCACCCUGGAACUGAGACACGGCCCAGCCCCCUAGGGGAGGCAGCAGGGGGGAAUAUUGCCAAAUGGGCGCAAGCCUGAGGCAGCCAGGCCGGGUGUAUGAAGAAGGCCUUCGGGUUGUAAAGUACUUUCAGCGGGGAGGAAGGGAGUAAAGUUAAUACCUUUUCUCAUUGACGUUACCCGCAGAAGAAGCACCGGCUAACUCCGU